GGUGAACGUUGGCGGUGCGUCUAAUACAUGCAAGUCGAGCGAGGCUUCGAGCCGAGCGGCGGACGGCUGAGUAACACGUUGGUAGCUACCCCCCACUCAGGGAUAACCAUUGGAAACGAUGGCUAAUACCGGAUGGUCCUGUAAAGGUAAAGCUUUUGCGGUGGGGGAGGUGCCUGCGGCCUAUCAGUUUGUUGGUGAGGUAACGGCUCACCAAGACUAUGACGGGUAACUGGUCUGAGAGGAUGAUCAGUCAGAGGGAAACUGAGACACGGUUCCCACUCCUACGGGAGGCAGCAGUAAAGAAUCUUCCACAAUGGGCGAAAGCCUGAUGGAGCGACACCGCGUGCCAGAUGAAUGCCUUCGGGUUGUAAAUGGCUUUUCUGGGGGAAGAACUAUGACGGUACCCUAGGAAUAAGCACCGGCUAACUCCG
This 431-nucleotide ribosomal RNA is filed under the name uncultured bacterium. Its description in RNAcentral is "bacterial SSU rRNA". It matches the Rfam family "Bacterial small subunit ribosomal RNA", at positions 28 to 505 of the family's 1533-position model. The record is from RNAcentral.